Molecule: long non-coding RNA, 344 nt
Filed under: Vigna radiata
Lineage: Eukaryota; Viridiplantae; Streptophyta; Magnoliopsida; Fabales; Fabaceae
Description: long non-coding RNA (VRAD_LNC009286)
Source: RNAcentral
AUGUCUGUUUUUACAUUGUUUUGCAGGGUUUUAAGGUGAAUUGAAGAUGGAAAUAAAGAAAGGUGGACUUAGACCCAUGAAAGAGGAAGAAAAAGGAUGAAAAGAAGGGUCAAGUGAACCGCUGAGCGCCAGAAUGGACCGCUGAACCUCCAGAGCGAUUAGAGGGAAACCGCUGAGCGGCAAAACUGACCGCUGAGCGGUCCAAGCGGCUAGAGGGAAACUGCUGAGCGGUUUACUUAGGUGCCUGGGCGGUUGUCUGUUUUUAUUACCUAGAUUAUGUAAUCUUUCUGUUAUCUUUUUGGGCUUAUAUAUAGCCCCAGUGCUAAUCAAAACACAUUCUUUUG